GGCUCGCAGGCGGUUUCUUAAGUCUGAUGUGAAAGCCCCCGGCUCAACCGGGGAGGGUCAUUGGAAACUGGGGAACUUGAGUGCAGAAGAGGAGAGUGGAAUUCCACGUGUAGCGGUGAAAUGCGUAGAGAUGUGGAGGAACACCAGNUGGCGAAGGCGACUCUCUGGUCUGUAACUGACGCUGAGGAGCGAAAGCGUGGGGAGCGAACAGGAUUAGAUACCCUGGUAGUCCACGCCGUAAACGAUGAGUGCUAAGUGUUAGGGGGUUUCCGCCCCUUAGUGCUGCAGCUAACGCAUUAAGCACUCCGCCUGGGGAGUACGGUCGCAAGACUGAAACUCAAAGGAAUUGACGGGGGCCCGCACAAGCGGUGGAGCAUGUGGUUUAAUUCAAAGCAACGCGAAAAACCUUACCAGGUCUUGACAUCCUCUGACAAUCCUAGAGAUAGGACGUCCCCUUCGGGGGCAGAGUGACAGGUGGUGCAUGGUUGUCGUCAGCUCGUGUCGUGAGAUGUUGGGUUAAGUCCCGCAACGAGCGCAACCCUUGAUCUUAGUUGCCAGCAUUCAGUUGGGCACUCUAAGGUGACUGCCGGUGACAAACCGGAGGAAGGUGGGGAUGACGUCAAAUCAAUCAUGCCCCUUUAUGACCUGGGCUACACACGUGCUACAAUGGACAGAACAAAGGGCAGCGAAACCGCGAGGUUAAGCCAAUCCCACAAAUCUGUUCUCAGUUCGGAUCGCAGUCUGCAACUCGACUGCGUGAAGCUGGAAUCGCUAGUAAUCGCGGAUCAGCAUGCCGC
Molecule: ribosomal RNA, 797 nt
Filed under: uncultured Bacillus sp.
Lineage: Bacteria; Bacillati; Bacillota; Bacilli; Caryophanales; Bacillaceae
Description: bacterial SSU rRNA
Rfam family: Bacterial small subunit ribosomal RNA
Source: RNAcentral